CAGGAGCCCCCCGCGGGCGCGGGGCCCAGCACCGCGGGCGCCCAGCAGCCGCGCCACGUUCUCGUGCUCCAUCAGCGGCAGCGCGUGCACCGCCCGCUCGGCCGCGAAGCGCCCGGCCGCCCCCGCCGCGAACGCCUUGAUGGCCACCGGCCGCUGCUGCAGGGUGCCCCGCCACACCGCCGAGAAGCGCCCCGCCUGCAGCACCUGCGCCCCCAGCACCCAUGGGUGCCGGCGGUUCGCGCCGCCGGGGAGCCCAGCACCCGGCCUCCCGCUGGUGUUUGCAGCCCGGAGGGUCCCCGAGGACCCAGGUCCCCGGGCACCCAUGGGUGUCCUGUGCCCAAGGGCUCCCCAGCCCCACGCGCCCGUAGAUGCUGGCACCCCCACCCCUGUGAUUCCCCUUCCCCCUGCACCCAUGGGUGUCCUGAUCCCAGGGAUCACCCAGUCCCAUGCACCCAUGGGUACUGGCACCCCCACCCCAGGGAUCCCCCAUCCCCCUGCACCCAUGGGUAUCCUGAGCCCAGGGGUCACCCAGUCCCAUGCAUGUCCUGAUCCCAGGGAUCCCCCAUCCCCAAGCACCCAUGGGUGUCCUGAGCCCAGGGGUCACCCAGCCCCACACACCCAUGGAUCCUGACACCCCCACCCCACAGAUCCGCCAUCCCCAAGCACCCACGGGUGUCCCCAGCCCCUGGAACCCCACCCCCUGGUCCCCUCACCCCCAGGCACCCAUGGGCUCCCCCCAUCCCUGGGGACCCCCACCCUCAGGGACACCCCAUCCCCAGGCACCCAUGGGUGUCCCCAGCCCCAGCGUCACCCAGCCCCAUCUCCCCAGUCCUGGCCUUCAUCGGGCCCCCCCCGAGCUGCUCCCCCCCCCAUGUGGGUGCCCCCCCACCCCGUGGGUGCCCCCCACCUGCAGGAAGCGCAGCGCGGGCAGCUCCGGGCUGGGGGGCGCUGGGGGGGGCCCAAGUCCCCGACGUCCCCGGGGGGGCCGCUCCGUCUGCGCCCUCGCCCGUCGCAGCCCUGGGAUGGGGACAGGGGGACGAUGGGGACCCUGGGGACACGGGGACACCAGGGACGUGGCACCCAAGGGUGCGGGACCUGGGGAUGCUCGGGAGCCCCCCCCACCCUGGGGACAUCGGGGCCGUGGCAGCAGGGGACAAGGGACGUGGCACGUGGGGACCCCCGUGCCCGAGGCGCCCCGCGCCCUGGGGACACCAGGAGGUGACGGCAGGGGACACCCGCACCCAGGGACGGGGGGGCACGGGCACCCAAGGGGAUGCGGUGCCCCAGAGGCUCCCCCCCCCCGGGGGCCCCCCCAAAAUGUCCCCAGCCCUACCCAGCACGGCCAGGCAGGCGAGGAAGAGGAGCAGGAGGGGACCCGCGCCCCACAGCCACAGCGUCCCCGCGGGUGCCACGUGGCCGGGAGCUGGGGACAGAAACCGGGGUGACACCGCGACCCCCCCCCCAGGACCCCCCCCCCAAAGUAUAUCCCAGU
RNAcentral lists this long non-coding RNA (1492 nucleotides) under Anser brachyrhynchus (Pink-footed goose). RNAcentral's name for it is "lncRNA (ENSABRG00000006792.1)". The record is from RNAcentral. Lineage: Eukaryota; Metazoa; Chordata; Aves; Anseriformes; Anatidae.